RNAcentral lists this ribosomal RNA (253 nucleotides) under uncultured bacterium. Its description in RNAcentral is "partial 16S ribosomal RNA". It matches the Rfam family "Bacterial small subunit ribosomal RNA", at positions 524 to 776 of the family's 1533-position model. The record is from RNAcentral.
UACGUAGGGGGCUAGCGUUGUCCGGAAUCAUUGGGCGUAAAGCGCGUGUAGGCGGUCCGGUAAGUCCGCUGUGAAAGUCGGGGGCUCAACCCUCGGAUGCCGGUGGAUACUGUCGGGCUUGAGUACGGAAGAGGCGAGUGGAAUUCCUGGUGUAGCGGUGAAAUGCGCAGAUAUCAGGAAGAACACCCGUGGCGAAGGCGGCUCUCUGGGACGGUACUGACGCUGAGACGCGAGAGCGUGGGGAGCGAACAGG